UACGGGGGGGAGCAAGCGUUGUUCGGAUUUACUGGGCGUAAAGGGCGCGUAGGCGGCGUAACAAGUCACUUGUGAAAUCUCCGGGCUUAACCCGGAGCGGCCAAGUGAUACUGUUGUGCUAGAGUGCGGAAGGGGCUACUGGAAUUCUCGGUGUAGCGGUGAAAUGCGUAGAUAUCGAGAGGAACACCUGCGGCGAAGGCGGCUCUCUGGGACGGUACUGACGCUGAGACGCGAAAGCGUGGGGAGCGAACAGG
Molecule: ribosomal RNA, 254 nt
Filed under: uncultured bacterium
Lineage: Bacteria
Description: partial 16S ribosomal RNA
Rfam family: Bacterial small subunit ribosomal RNA
Source: RNAcentral